GACGAACGCUGGCGGCGUGCUUAACACAUGCAAGUCGAGCGGUAAGGCCCUUUCGGGGGUACACGAGCGGCGAACGGGUGAGUAACACGUGGGUGACCUGCCCUCAGCUCUGGGAUAAGCCUGGGAAACCGGGUCUAAUACUGGAUAUGACUCCAUGACGCAUGUUGUGGGGUGAAAGCCUUGUGCGGCUGAGGAUGGGCCCGCGGCCUAUCAGCUUGUUGGUGGGGUGAGGCCUACCAAGGCGACGACGGGUAGCCGGCCUGAGAGGGCGACCGGCCACACUGGGACUGAGACACGGCCCAGACUCCUACGGGAGGCAGCAGUGGGGAAUCUUGCGCAAUGGGCGAAAGCCUGACGCAGCG
RNAcentral lists this ribosomal RNA (362 nucleotides) under uncultured bacterium. RNAcentral's name for it is "bacterial SSU rRNA". It matches the Rfam family "Bacterial small subunit ribosomal RNA", at positions 28 to 393 of the family's 1533-position model. The record is from RNAcentral.